AACGAACGCUGGCGGCAUGCCUAACACAUGCAAGUCGAACGAGACCUUCGGGUCUAGUGGCGCACGGGUGCGUAACGCGUGGGAACCUGCCCUUAGGUUCGGAAUAACUCCCCGAAAGGGGUGCUAAUACCGGAUAAUGUCUUCGGACCAAAGAUUUAUCGCCUUUGGAUGGGCCCGCGUUGGAUUAGCUAGUUGGUAGGGUAAAAGCCUACCAAGGCGACGAUCCAUAGCUGGUCUGAGAGGAUGAUCAGCCACACUGGGACUGAGACACGGCCCAGACUCCUACGGGAGGCAGCAGUGGGGAAUAUUGGACAAUGGGCGAAAGCCUGAUCCAGCAAUGCCGCGUGAGUGAUGAAGGCCUUAGGGUUGUAAAGCACUUUUAUCCGCGCUGAUACUGACAGUACCGGGAGAAUAAGCUACGGCUAACUCCGGG
Molecule: ribosomal RNA, 433 nt
Filed under: uncultured bacterium
Lineage: Bacteria
Description: partial 16S ribosomal RNA
Rfam family: Bacterial small subunit ribosomal RNA
Source: RNAcentral